Molecule: ribosomal RNA, 498 nt
Filed under: uncultured bacterium
Lineage: Bacteria
Description: partial 16S ribosomal RNA
Rfam family: Bacterial small subunit ribosomal RNA
Source: RNAcentral
AUUGAACGCUGGCGGCAUGCCUUACACAUGCAAGUCGAACGGGAACAGGUCUUCGGAUGCUGAUGAGUGGCGAACGGGUGAGUAAUACAUCGGAACGUGCCCGAUCGUGGGGGAUAACGAAGCGAAAGCUUUGCUAAUACCGCAUACGAUCUAAGGAUGGAAGCAGGGGACCGCAAGGCCUUGCGCGAACGGAGCGGCCGAUGGCAGAUUAGGUAGUUGGUGGGAUAAAAGCUUACCAAGCCGACGAUCUGUAGCUGGUCUGAGAGGACGACCAGCCACACUGGGACUGAGACACGGCCCAGACUCCUACGGGAGGCAGCAGUGGGGAAUUUUGGACAAUGGGCGAAAGCCUGAUCCAGCCAUGCCGCGUGCAGGAUGAAGGCCUUCGGGUUGUAAACUGCUUUUGUACGGAACGAAAAGACUCUGGUUAAUACCUGGGGUCCAUGACGGUACCGUAAGAAUAAGCACCGGCUAACUACGUGCCAGCCGCCGCCGUAA